CGCGGCUCUACGUUGGGCUGACGCACUGAGUGCUACGCUUGGACAGAUGCGGGCGCCGAACACAUAACUUAAGCUUAGCCUUAACGAGCCUUAAAGGGUUGUGACAAGGGGUUGGUUGAUGAAACUGAGUUCCCAGUUUCUUUCGUCCCCCUUUGUGAGAUAUUGAUACCGGCUUCCGGCGAGCUGCACCAGGCGGGGGUGCUGCCCCAAAUUGAUCGGGGCGGUGCAGCGGGAUUGGCCGGUGCAUGUCCGUUAGGCAGGAUGGAAUGGCAACCACUGCAACUUCCACCUUCUGUGGGCCCAGCUGCCCAAAGCGGACCUCUCAGCAGGAUGGGCCAACCACCCUUUAGGAAACCCAAGGUGCAGCUGAGCUGUGAUGUUUGUAAUAAGGACUUCAGCGGCCAGGCAGCCCGGGAUGCUCACAUGGCUGGCGCCAAACACGCACGCAUGGUGAAAUCGAAGCAGAUACUUGCAGAUCUCAAAGAGCAAGGACGGGAAAUUCCCACGUUGCCGAGUGGAAACUCCAUGUUUCGGUGUGCGGCUUGCGAUAUAAUUCUGAACUCAUCGCAGCAGCUAUCAACGCACCUCAAUGGCAGUAAGCACAAGCUAAAAGAGCAGGCGAACAACAGUAAGGCCGCGAUAGUGCUGGCCCCGCGCACCUCGUUCGUACCUGCCACGGC
Molecule: long non-coding RNA, 680 nt
Organism: Pollicipes pollicipes
Lineage: Eukaryota; Metazoa; Arthropoda; Thecostraca; Pollicipedomorpha; Pollicipedidae
Exons: 5
Source: RefSeq, a predicted model, not a curated record